RNAcentral lists this ribosomal RNA (449 nucleotides) under uncultured bacterium. RNAcentral describes it as "bacterial SSU rRNA". It matches the Rfam family "Bacterial small subunit ribosomal RNA", at positions 337 to 802 of the family's 1533-position model. The record is from RNAcentral.
UCCUACGGGAGGCAGCAGCAAGGAAUAUUGUGCAAUGGGCGAAAGCCUGACACAGCGACGCCGCGUGAGGGAUGAAGGCCUUCGGGUUGUAAACCUCUUUUCUCAGGGAAGAAAAAUGACGGUACCUGAGGAAUAAGUCUUGGCUAACUACGUGCCAGCAGCCGCGGUAAUACGUAGAAGGCAAGCGUUAUUCGGAUUUAUUGGGCGUAAAGAGGGCGUAGGCGGCUUUUCAAGUCGGAUGUAAAAUCUCCCGGCUCAACUGGGAGGGACCAUGCGAUACUGUUAGGCUAGAGGGCAGCAGAGGGAGGUGGAAUUCCCGGUGUAGUGGUGAAAUGCGUAGAUAUCGGGAGGAACACCAGUGGCGAAGGCGGCCUCCUGGGCUGUUUCUGACGCUGAGGCCCGUAAGCGUGGGGAGCAAACAGGAUUAGAUACCCCAGUAGUCCAAGCCG